This 839-nucleotide ribosomal RNA is filed under the name uncultured bacterium. Its description in RNAcentral is "bacterial SSU rRNA". It matches the Rfam family "Bacterial small subunit ribosomal RNA", at positions 26 to 898 of the family's 1533-position model. The record is from RNAcentral.
AGAAUCAACGCUGGCGGCGUGCUAACACAUGCAAGUCGAGCGAGAAAGGGUAGCAAUACUGAGUAAAGCGGCGCACGGGUGAGUAACACGUGACUAACCUACCCUGGAGUGGGGAAUAACUGAGGGAAACCUUAGCUAAUACCGCAUAAUACCUACGGGUCAAAGGAGCAAUUCGCUCUGGGAGGGGGUCGCGGCCGAUUAGUUAGUUGGCGGGGUAAUGGCCCACCAAGACUGUGAUCGGUAUCCGGCCUGAGAGGGCGCACGGACACACUGGAACUGAAACACGGUCCAGACUCCUACGGGAGGCAGCAGUGGGGAAUUUUGCGCAAUGGGGGAAACCCUGACGCAGCAACGCCGCGUGGAGGAUGAAGUCCCUCGGGACGUAAACUCCUUUCGAUCGGGACGAUUAUGACGGUACCGGAAGAAGAAGCCCCGGCUAACUUCGUGCCAGCAGCCGCGGUAAUACGAGGGGGGCGAGCGUUGUUCGGAAUUAUUGGGCGUAAAGGGUGCGUAGGUGGUUGGGUAAGUCUGAUGUGAAAUCUCGGAGCUUAACUCCGAAACGGCAUUGGAUACUAUUCAGCUUGAGAGUUGGAGGGGGGACUGGAAUUCUCGGUGUAGCAGUGAAAUGCGUAGAUAUCGAGAGGAACACCAGUGGCGAAGGCGAGUCCCUGGACAACUUCUGACACUGAGGCACGAAAGCCAGGGGAGCAAACGGGAUUAGAUACCCCGGUAGUCCUGGCCCUAAACGGUGCACGUUUGCUGUAAAAGGAAUCGACCCCUUUUGUGGCGUAGCUAACGCGUUAAACGUGCCGCCUGGGAAGUACGGUCGCAAGAUUAAA